CAAAGUUGAGAAGAAGAAGAAUGAAGCCGGGAAAAAGUCGGCCGGCGGUGGGAAAAACGCCGACGACAACAGCGGCGGUAUUGCAACUAUUCUGUUGAAGCUAGAUUUGCAUUGUGAAGGUUGUGCUCAAAAAGUUAGACGUUCCGUUCGCCACUUUGAAGGUGUGGAAGACGUGAAGGCGGAUGCCAGUACUGGAAAAUUGACUGUGAAAGGGAAUGUGGAUCCGUUAUGGCUCCGGGAGAAAGUGGAAAGUAAGACUAAGAAGAAGGUGGCGCUCCUCUCUGCUCAGCCCAAAAAGGUUGCCGCCGGCGAGAAAAAAUCCGAUGAGAAGGUUGAGAAAAAGGCAGUAGAGGAGAAGAAAAAAUCCAAUGCGAAGGUUGAGAACGAGGCAGUAGAGGAGAAGAAAAAAUCCAAUGCGAAGGUUGAGAACG
Molecule: unclassified non-coding RNA, 431 nt
Filed under: Hevea brasiliensis (rubber tree)
Lineage: Eukaryota; Viridiplantae; Streptophyta; Magnoliopsida; Malpighiales; Euphorbiaceae
Source: RNAcentral